Schistocerca cancellata (South American locust) is the source of this 2751-nucleotide long non-coding RNA. RefSeq lists it as uncharacterized. The transcript is spliced from 3 exons. The record is from RefSeq and is a predicted model, not a curated record. NCBI's taxonomy places the organism in Eukaryota, Metazoa, Arthropoda, Insecta, Orthoptera, Acrididae.
UUGGAGGUCUGGGCAGUGUUUAAAACUUCGUUGUUAGUGCAGUUGUGGAGUAGUGUUGUUUGGAUCUCAGCGAGAUACAAGAAUUUACGCAGCUUCAGACGUCCUUUCGAAUUCCGUAGAUGAAAGAAGUGAUUAGUGACUGAAGAAAUCCUAGGACUGACUGGGGAUCAGAAACCAGUUCUAUGGAUUUUUGGUUUAGCACUUACCCAACGAGCCGCCAAUCCAAACACAGGUAGCCAAGAUUUUUCUGGGCUUGCUUAGGCACAAGGUACUGUCUUGAUUAUUAUGUUAAUGCAAAUUAUUCCAAAUCAUUUAAUCAUAAUUACUGAUUUGACCCUAAAUUGGGAUUGCAGUUGCCUUAUGUGUGGACACCCUUAACCUAUUUUGCUGGUUGGUACUUGAUAAAAUUUUCAGUUGAUUUUAUGCUGAUUUUAGCAGAAUUUUUGUCCUCUUAUGUGUUAAGAGUGUGUUUGAUUUAAAUAAUAAUAAUAAAAAUAAUAAUAAUAAGUUUUCCGAAAGUACUUUGAAGGCCUUAAGUGACGUUUUCUUAUAUCUUUGCUGUUGCCCUUUGAACAGCUUCUGAUUUGUAAGUGAAGAAGCUUUUUUUUAUUUUUUACUGUUUUAUAUUUAUUCUGACAGUGUGUUUUGUGGUUUGUUAAGGUAAAACCAUUUGUUAAGCCAAUUAUUGCUGUAAGCAACUAAUUAGCCUUAAGCUGUUGCUCAUAGUUGUGUGUUACCAUUGUAUUUAUUUAUUCAUGCUAUUAUGUGGUGGUGAAAUAAAUGUAGCCACUCAAAUGACAAAUGAUGCUCUUCUGUUUUUGCCCUUCUAUGCUUGCCUUGUCCUACCCCAUCCUGUGUUUAGGGAUUUCAGCAUUGUGCCUCAUUUGUAAAUAUUUUGUGUACUUCAUGUGGAAAAUAUACUAUAGAAUGUAGUUAGUUACAUGUUCCAUAGAUCACGUGAAUGAUUCUUUUAUUGAAAUGAGAACCACUUGCAUGAACAUCAAGAGCUCAGAUGGAAACCCAGUUCUAAGCAAAGAAGGGAAAGCAGAAAGGUGGAAGGAGUAUAUAGAGGGUUUAUACAAGGGCGAUGUACUUGAGGACAAUAUUAUGGAAAUGGAAGAGGAUGUAGAUAAAGAUGAAAUGGGAGAUACAAUACUGCGUGAAGAGUUUGACAGAGCACUGAAAGAUCUGAGUCGAAACAAGGCCCCCGGAGUAGACAACAUUCCAUUAGAACUACUGACAAAACUCUACCAUCUGGUGAGCAAUAUGUAUAAAACUGGCGAAAUACCCUCAGACUUCAAGAAGAAUAUAAUAAUUCCAAUCCCAAAGAAAGCAGGUGUUGACAAAUGUGAAAAUUACCGAACUAUCAGUUUAACAAGUCACAGCUGCAAAAUACGAACGCGACUUCUUUACAGACGAAUGGAAAAACUAGUAAAAGCCGACCUCGGGGAAGAUCAGUUUGGAUUCCGUAGAAAUGUUGGAACACGUGAGGCAAUACUGACCCUACGACUUACCUUAGAAGCUAGAUUAAGGAAGGGCAAACCUACGUUUCUAGCAUUUGUAGACUUAGAGAAAGCUUUUGACAAUGUUGACUGGAAUACUCUCUUUCAAAUUCUGAAGGUGGCAGGGGUAAAAUACAGGGAGUGAAAGCCUAUUUACAAUUUGUACAGAAACCAGAUGGCAGUUAUAAGAGUAGAGGGACAUGAAAGGGAAGCAGUGGUUGGGAAGGGAGUGAGACAGGGUUGUAGUCUCUCCCUGAUGUUAUUCAAUCUGUAUAUUGAGCAAGCAGUGAAGGAAACAAAAGACAAAUUCGGAGUAGGUAUUAAAAUCCACGGAGAAGAAAUAAAAACUUUGAGGUUCGCCGAUGACAUUGUAAUUCUGUCAGAGACAGCAAAGGACUUGGAACAGCAGUUGAACGGAAUGGAUAGUGUCUUGAAAGGAGGAUAUAAGAUGAACAUCACCAAAAGCAAAACGAGGAUAAUGGAAUGUAGUCGAAUUAAUUCAGGUGAUGCUGAGGGGAUUAGAUGAGGAAAUGAGACACUUAAAGUAGUAAAGAAGUUUAGCUAUUUGGGGAGCAAAAUAACUGAUGACGAUCGAAGUAGAGAGGAUAUAAAAUGUAGACUGGCAGUGGCAAGGAAAGCGUUUCUGAAGAAGAGAAAUUUGUUAACAUUGAGUAUAGAUUUAAGUGUCAGGAAGUCAUUUCUGAAAGUAUUUGUAUGGAGUGUAGCCAUGUAUGGAAGUUAAACAUGGACGAUAAAUAGUUUGGAAAAGAAGAGAAUAGAAGCUUUUGAAAUGGGGUGCUACAGAAGAAUGCUGAAGAUUAGAUGGGUAGAUCACAUAACUAAUGAGGAAGUGUUGAAUAGGAUUGGGGAGAAUAGAAGUUUGUGGCACAACUUGACUAGAAGAAGGGAUCGGUUGGUAGGACAUGUUCUGAGGCAUCAAGGGAUCAUCAAUUUAGUAUUAGAGUGCAGCGUGGAGGGUAAAAAUCGUAGAGGGAGACCAAGAGAUGAAUACACUAAGCAGAUUCAGAAGGAUGUAGGUUGCGGUAGGUACUGGGAGAUGAAGAAGCUUACACAGGACAGAGUAGCAUGGAGAGCUGCAUCAAACCAGUCUCAGGACUGAAGACAACAACAACAAUGGAAUGAGUAAGUUUACAGGAUCUGUGAACAUUACUAGUGUUAACAGUAAUGAACAUAUUUUUUUUAUUCCUACUACUGCAGCUACACUUAAAAAGUGCAGUUUUUUAAAUAA